Molecule: long non-coding RNA, 1480 nt
Filed under: Capra hircus (goat)
Lineage: Eukaryota; Metazoa; Chordata; Mammalia; Artiodactyla; Bovidae
Description: lncRNA (ENSCHIG00000007448.1)
Source: RNAcentral
GGAAGGGAAUAGCUCAGAACGCUGGCCUGGCUCCCAGAACCGGGGCCCUCCGGAAAGCGGAAACAGCUGCUCAGGCGGACAGCGGGCUUGUCCAGCGCAGAUAUGCGCAGGCUCGAGUCCCUUAGCAGGCGCGGCCGCGCCCACCACACCCCCUCAAGCCUUGCCUCACCAGUGGUGGCAGUACAGAGAGCCCUGGGCUGGGAGUUCGAGAGCUGGCUCAGCUCACUCGCUUCAUCACCCGAGCAUGAGUCAGUGACUCACGGGCGCCUCAGACAGGCUUAGCGGGGAGGACCCACACCUCCCUCCUAGCGGAGCUUCCAGGGCACCCUGGGCCUCGCGGCCCUCGCGGUCGAGGGCGCAGAGAAACGCACCCCCUGCAGGACCCCGAGUCCCCCUCGUUUUGUCCCACGCCGGGGAAGCCACGUUUUGCCUCUUGCACGGUUGGUUCACGUCCUCAGCAGUUCCUGGACCAACAGGACAGGAGAAGUUACCAGACACAUUGAUCAUGGGAGUGAUCAAACACACCAUUCCUGGCCAAGAACACUGCCGUGGUCAUAGCCUCCAAGGAGAGAAGCGUCCUCAAGGCAUUGCUCAUCCAGACUUUGCUGUGUUUUGACCACACCAUCCUUUGGCCACGUGUGAUUGGACAGAGGAGGAUGCUUGGCCCAGGACCUCCGUGCAUGGACUGACUGGUAUUGUCAGAUGUGGUCCAGCUGGAUCAAAGAUCAUUCAAGUUAGAUCUUUCUAUCUUCGGGAGUUGAUUUUGGAAAUGAAGAGAAAACGAGCCAGCUGGUAGCGGGACAAGAAUCAUGAAGAUACACUUAGAAGAGGGGUGUGAAGAUUGUCAUCACUGAGUCACGCUUAUGCUGGAAAUCCAGGACCAAUGGUUCUGAACCCAAACGCCUGUGCACACGGGCUGGCAGCUACCCUCACAGGUGGGUACCAUAUUGUGUUCAAGGUGGAGGAUGUACCUUUUGUUGUAACUGAAGAUAUAUGUUGUUACAACAGUGCACCUCAGACAGAGUGUUGAGAGAAGCGCUUCAACAUGUAGAAUGGGAGAAUCCCAAAUGGGCACAUUGUAUGGGAGAGAUGUGAGAGGUAGAGCAUGCUGAUAAGCACGGGCAAAGGAACCUCGUGUUUCCUAGGGUGUAUGCAAACUUGGUUUUGUGAGUACAGAGCACAGUUGGGGCCAUAGCAGUUAUCCUCAAAUGAAAACACAGGCUUGAAGAGUAAUCAAGUGAAUGAUAUAAGUGGGGAUGUAAUUUAAUCCCUUUGAAGCCUUGCCAAAAAUUCUAGUGUUUGAACGUGCACCAUGGAAUUAGUCAGGACCCUUUUAGUUUUAAGUGACAAAGACUGAACUCAAAUUAACUUACAAGGGAAUUCAUGGCUCAUAUAAUUAAAAAAUCUAAAGGAUGGAACUGAUUUUGGUCCUGGCUGGAUCCAAAUGUGCAGUAUCAUUGGAAAUUAGGGGUAGCUAAUU